GGGGAUGUUUAGAAUCGAUGGUUUUGCUCAUUAAAAACUGGCACGCCGACAUUAAAUAGUUGUCGUUAAACAGAUUUAAAAAAAUAAGUGCUGAUAAACAAGUCAACACAAAUCGAGGUCGAACUUUAGCUGAUAAGGCUAAAGAUGCUGUUAAUUCAGCUUUUGACUUUGGUUUCCGAACACCAGCUUUUGCUCUAGCAGCUUAAUUUGGUUUAGGACAUCUUAGCUCACUUUUCCUGAGGGAGUCGAGCUAGGGUGAAAACAAACUUCAGGUGUAAGACUAGUCUGGUCAGCUAGCCCGAAACUUUUGACCAAACUAGCAAGCUAUGAAUUGCUUGUUAUUCACCUUGCUAGUAUCUUAACAAGCUAUGCGUGUAGAAAGUUUUUAGUAACACAAUCAGACGAGGGUGCAAUUCCCUCCAUCUCCACAA
Molecule: transfer-messenger RNA, 431 nt
Filed under: Patescibacteria group
Lineage: Bacteria
Also listed under: 1 other name
Description: JAAZOH01 sp012797845 Standard tmRNA
Rfam family: transfer-messenger RNA
About the family: Bacterial tmRNA, also known as 10Sa RNA or SsrA, is named for its dual tRNA and mRNA-like properties. Its role is to liberate the mRNA from a stalled ribosome. To accomplish this part of the tmRNA is used as a reading frame that ends in a translation stop signal.
Source: RNAcentral